GCUGGGCGUGGUGACGGGCGCCUGUAAUCCCAGCUACUUGGAAGGCCGAGGCAGGAGAAUUGCUUGAACCCAGGAGGUGGAGGUGGCAGUGAGCCGAGAUCGCGCCAUUGCACUCCAGCCUGGGUGACAGAGCAAGACUCUGUCUCAA
RNAcentral lists this non-coding RNA (148 nucleotides) under Gorilla gorilla gorilla (western lowland gorilla). The record is from Rfam by way of RNAcentral. Lineage: Eukaryota; Metazoa; Chordata; Mammalia; Primates; Hominidae.